Molecule: ribosomal RNA, 1132 nt
Filed under: Salmonella enterica
Lineage: Bacteria; Pseudomonadati; Pseudomonadota; Gammaproteobacteria; Enterobacterales; Enterobacteriaceae
Description: partial 23S ribosomal RNA
Rfam family: Bacterial large subunit ribosomal RNA
Source: RNAcentral
AGACCCGAAACCCGGUGAUCUAGCCAUGGGCAGGUUGAAGGUUGGGUAACACUAACUGGAGGACCGAACCGACUAAUGUUGAAAAAUUAGCGGAUGACCUGUGGCUGGGGGUGAAAGGCCAAUCAAACCGGGAGAUAGCUGGUUCUCCCCGAAAGCUAUUUAGGUAGCGCCUCGUGAAUUCAUCUCCGGGGGUAGAGCACUGUUUCGGCUAGGGGGCCAUCCCGGCUUACCAACCCGAUGCAAACUGCGAAUACCGGAGAAUGUUAUCACGGGAGACACACGGCGGGUGCUAACGUCCGUCGUGAAGAGGGAAACAACCCAGACCGCCAGCUAAGGUCCCAAAGUCAUGGUUAAGUGGGAAACGAUGUGGGAAGGCCCAGACAGCCAGGAUGUUGGCUUAGAAGCAGCCAUCAUUUAAAGAAAGCGUAAUAGCUCACUGGUCGAGUCGGCCUGCGCGGAAGAUGUAACGGGGCUAAACCAUGCACCGAAGCUGCGGCAGCGAACGUAUCACCCAAGACAACUUUACGGAGUUGACGAUUGACGGAGCGAAGCGACGUCAAAGCGUUCAUUAAAGUCGAGUUGGCUUAGGGAUACGUUCGUUGGGUAGGGGAGCGUUCUGUAAGCCUGUGAAGGUGUGUCGUGAGGCAUGCUGGAGGUAUCAGAAGUGCGAAUGCUGACAUAAGUAACGAUAAAGCGGGUGAAAAGCCCGCUCGCCGGAAGACCAAGGGUUCCUGUCCAACGUUAAUCGGGGCAGGGUGAGUCGACCCCUAAGGCGAGGCCGAAAGGCGUAGUCGAUGGGAAACGGGUUAAUAUUCCCGUACUUGGUGUUACUGCGAAGGGGGGACGGAGAAGGCUAUGUUGGCCGGGCGACGGUUGUCCCGGUUUAAGCGUGUAGGUGUGUGUUCCAGGUAAAUCCGGUUCACUUUAACACUGAGGCGUGACGACGAGGCACUACGGUGCUGAAGCAACAAAUGCCCUGCUUCCAGGAAAAGCCUCUAAGCAUCAGGUAACACGAAAUCGUACCCCAAACCGACACAGGUGGUCAGGUAGAGAAUACCAAGGCGCUUGAGAGAACUCGGGUGAAGGAACUAGGCAAAAUGGUGCCGUAACUUCGGGAGAAGGCACGCUGACA